RNAcentral lists this ribosomal RNA (235 nucleotides) under uncultured bacterium. Its description in RNAcentral is "partial 16S ribosomal RNA". It matches the Rfam family "Bacterial small subunit ribosomal RNA", at positions 96 to 334 of the family's 1533-position model. The record is from RNAcentral.
CGGCGGACGGGUGAGUAAUGUAUGGGGAUCUGCCUGGUGGCGGGGGAUAACUACUGGAAACGGUAGCUAAUACCGCAUAAUGUCUACGGACCAAAGCGGGGGACCUCCGGGCCUCGCGCCAUCAGAUGAACCCAUAUGGGAUUAGCUUGUAGGUAAGGUAACGGCUUACCUAGGCGACGAUCCCUAGCUGGUCUGAGAGGAUGAUCAGCCACACUGGGACUGAGACACGGCCCAG